GCCGCCUGUCCCGCCGCAGCCGGGGCGGGGGACCAGCAGCCUCCCCCUGCCCCGGGAGGGCAGGACGGAGAGGAGCCCUAGCGCUGACGAUUACAUUAUUUUAUGGUUCUUCCCUGAUGCUCCAUAAAUAGCCACUGGUCCCAAAUUAGGGUACUGUGAUUGAAGAAUAUGAAGUCCUUAGUUAUAAUGUUUGUAACCUAGUUCAACAACAUUUAAAUAAAUUUCUUCUGGAUGAGCCUGUGUAAAGACAGUUUAAAGGGUUGUUCUUUUAUCUAAAGUAACUCUGGCCUUCUAAUACCACUGCUCAGACUUUCUUCAAAACAGUGAAGUUCCUUCUCUAUUAUUGUCAGUCCUUUGUUGAUAUAUUU
Ficedula albicollis (Collared flycatcher) is the source of this 368-nucleotide long non-coding RNA. RefSeq lists it as uncharacterized. The transcript has 3 exons. NCBI's taxonomy places the organism in Eukaryota, Metazoa, Chordata, Aves, Passeriformes, Muscicapidae. The record is from RefSeq and is a predicted model, not a curated record.